UACAGAGGGGGCAAGCGUUGUUCGGAAUUACUGGGCGUAAAGCGCGCGUAGGCGGUCGUAUAAGUCGGAUGUGAAAGCCCUUGGCUCAACCAAGGAACUGCGUCCGAUACUGUUCGGCUUGAGGCUGGUAGGGGGUAGCGGAAUUCCCGGUGUAGCGGUGGAAUGCGUAGAUAUCGGGAGGAACACCGAUGGCGAAAGCGGCUACCUGGGCCAGAUCUGACGCUGAGGCGCGAGAGCUAGGGGAGCAAACAGG
This 253-nucleotide ribosomal RNA is filed under the name uncultured bacterium. Its description in RNAcentral is "partial 16S ribosomal RNA". It matches the Rfam family "Bacterial small subunit ribosomal RNA", at positions 524 to 776 of the family's 1533-position model. The record is from RNAcentral.